CAUGACUGGCUGAUCCAAUACUAAGUACUAGUGCCGCAGGAGUCGUAUAUUUGAGUAACCCUGUCGUACUUGUGCUUAACAUAGGAUGUGCCAAUAUUCAU
Non-coding RNA from Saccoglossus kowalevskii, 101 nucleotides. RefSeq annotates it as microRNA mir-252a. The record is from RefSeq and is marked provisional. NCBI's taxonomy places the organism in Eukaryota, Metazoa, Hemichordata, Enteropneusta, Harrimaniidae.